This 73-nucleotide transfer RNA is filed under the name Gammaproteobacteria bacterium. Its description in RNAcentral is "tRNA-Lys". It matches the Rfam family "tRNA". Rfam says of the family: Transfer RNA (tRNA) molecules are approximately 80 nucleotides in length. Their secondary structure includes four short double-helical elements and three loops (D, anti-codon, and T loops). The record is from RNAcentral. Lineage: Bacteria; Pseudomonadati; Pseudomonadota; Gammaproteobacteria.
GGGUCGUUAGCUCAGUUGGUAGAGCAUCUGGCUUUUAACCAGUUGGUCGCAGGUUCGAUCCCUGCACGACCCA